CCUACGGGAGGCAGCAGUGAGGAAUAUUGGUCAAUGGGCGUAAGCCUGAACCAGCCAAGUCGCGUGAGGGAUGAAGGUUCUCUGGAUCGUAAACCUCUUUUAUAAGGGAAUAAAGUGUGGGACGUGUCCUAUUUUGUAUGUACCUUAUGAAUAAGGAUCGGCUAACUCCGUGCCAGCAGCCGCGGUAAUACGGAGGGUCCGAGCGUUAUCCGGAUUUAUUGGGUGUAAAGGGUGCGUAGGCGGCCUUUUAAGUCAGCGGUGAAAGUCUGUGGCUCAACCAUAGAAUUGCCGUUGAAACUGGGGGGCUGGAGUAUGGUUGAGGCAGGAGGAAUGCGUGGUGUAGCGGUGAAAUGCUUAGAUAUCACGCAGAACCCCGAUGGCGAAGGCAGCC
Molecule: ribosomal RNA, 391 nt
Filed under: uncultured bacterium
Lineage: Bacteria
Description: partial 16S ribosomal RNA
Rfam family: Bacterial small subunit ribosomal RNA
Source: RNAcentral